CGGUAAUUCCAGCUCCAAUAGCGUAUAUUAAAGUUGUUGUGGUUAAAAAGCUCGUAGUUGGAUCUCAGUCCAUUGUUUGGUGGUCUAUCACAAUGCGUGUUUACUAUCGUAACUGGACACACUACCGUUUAUCGUCUAGUGGUGCUCUUCACCGAGUGUCACUAGUGAUCGGUACGUUUACUUUGAAAAAAUUAGAGUGCUCAAAGCGGUCUUUACACGAUCGAAUAAUGUUGCAUGGAAUAAUGAAAUAGGACUUUGGUUCUAUUUUGUUGGUCUUCGGAACCAAGGUAAUGAUUAAGAGGGACAGACGGGGGCAUUAGUAUUGCGACGCUAGAGGUGAAAUUCUUGGACCGUCGCAAGACUAACUAAAGCGAAAGCAUUUGCCAAGAAUGUUUUCAUUAAUCAAGAACGAAAGUUAGAGGUUCGAAGGCGAUCAGAUACCGCCCUAGUUCUAACCAUAAACGAUGCCAACCAGCAAUCAGCCUGUGUUCUCUUGAUGACACGGCUGGCGGCUUCCGGGAAACCAAAGUCUUUCGGUUCCAGGGGAAGUAUGGUUGCAAAGCUGAAACUUAAAGGAAUUGACGGAAGGGCACCACCAGGAGUGGAGCCUGCGGCUUAAUUUGACUCAACACGGGGAAACUCACCCGGCCCGGACACUGUGAGGAUUGACAGGUUGAAGCCCUUUCUUGAUUCAGUGGGUGGUGGUGCAUGGCCGUUCUUAGUUGGUGGAGUGAUUUGUCUGGUUAAUUCCGAUAACGAACGAGACUCUAGCCUAUUACGAAGACUGAGGCAUCCUUCGUGCUGCCUCAGCGCUUCCUAGAGGGACAGACGGCGUUUCAGCCGUAUGAGAAAGAGCAAUAACAGGUCUGUGAUGCCCUUAGAUGUCCGGGGCCGCACGCGCGCUACACUGAAGAGAUCAGCGUGUAUGUGCAUCCUACUCCGAAAUGAGCGGGAAACCGAGUGAACC
RNAcentral lists this ribosomal RNA (967 nucleotides) under uncultured metazoan. RNAcentral describes it as "SSU rRNA". It matches the Rfam family "Eukaryotic small subunit ribosomal RNA", at positions 577 to 1560 of the family's 1831-position model. The record is from RNAcentral. Lineage: Eukaryota; Metazoa.